UCUAAGGUUUUCUGUCUUUCUUUAUGACAUGUAUCCAGAAUAAUUUUUUUACUUCUAUUCAAUAGCCAUAAGCUCAGCACUAGAACACCACCCUCUGCCAGAAGUACAAAUACCAAAUAAUCCUUUGCAUUGCGUGCUGUCAAGUUGGAACUGAUGUAUGGUGACCCUGAUACGGAUCUCAAGUAAGUGAGAUAUCUAAGGAGCAGUUUUACCAGUGCCACCCCACUUCCCACGGAACUUCCCUGUGGCUGAAUGGAGAUAUGAACCCUGGUCUCUUGGAGGCCCUAGUUCAUCACUCCAUUCACUGCCCCACACAGGACACAAAUGAUCCUACUCGGUCUAAACUAGGAAAACUACUGGAUAAUAAGUGUGAGCAGGAAGCUUGCUCACUUAUCUCUUCCAAAUUAACCCUAAACAAGUCCUUUCACAUCUCUCUCCAUGUUACCUCCCCUCUAGGCAUGGCUAUUUCUGUUGCUUCAAAGAGGGGGAAGAGUCUUGUCCUUUAAUUUGAUCCUCAGGGUAUGUCAUUGGGUGUUAGAAUAACAGCCCAACUCUUUCAAAGGUUACAUAACAUAGCAAACGUAGGUCAAAUGAACAGAAGAUAAGUAAGUGUUAUAAAGCAAUUAAAUCUUGCUGAACAUGAAAGCAGAGGACUUCAGAUGCUUUUUAAAAAGCCUUGCUACAAUAUUUUCCUUUUAUUGUACACAGAAAUGUGUUCUCAAUGAAUACACAUAUAUUAGAAUAUUCUCUCUCUCUUUUUCUUUUUCUUUUUAAAGAGGAGCCCGGAUGGUGGAGAGGGGAAACGGAUGCCUAUGUGGUAAUAGCCACUAUGCUCUUUUCAAAAAUCCUGCAGUAUCUUCUUCAAAUAGUCUGCUAUUUGGGCAGAACUGAAAAGAUCCAAAUCCACCAUCUCACAGAAGGAUUUCAGGAGCAAGGUGAAACAGAGACUGCCAGAGCGUUGGAAGAAUGGCGAAGGGUCUGCAGGAGUCCCCAAUUUCCAUUAUGGGGGUGGUGGCCAAGCUGCAAAACCCACAAAAAGAUGGACAACAGCAAGCGCAACACGCCCACCUAUGAGCGCAGGAGAGACCAGCCUGUCCCCUUCGUACUGUCCUUCCACUGGAACAAGUGUUAACGUGUGUAUCAGGUCUUCUGUCAACACAAAGAAAAGACCUUUCCUUUGGCCUAAGGUUCUGUGGACUGUGGGCAACUGGUAGAGUCAGAUCUGGAGAGAUGGGCUGCGGGCUCUGGGCGCUUCACCCCAAGACAAUGUGCCAGCCUCUCGAGUGCCACCAAAGCCUUUGCUGCUUUUGCUGCAACAGACCGCAAGCUCCUCUUCGUAAAAGAGAGGGUAUCCGGGAUGUCCUCGCCUCUGGGACACAAAGGAUUUUGUUUAAAUAAAAGAGGGGGAU
Molecule: long non-coding RNA, 1409 nt
Filed under: Pogona vitticeps (central bearded dragon)
Lineage: Eukaryota; Metazoa; Chordata; Lepidosauria; Squamata; Agamidae
Description: lncRNA (ENSPVIG00000001436.1)
Source: RNAcentral